AGAGAGAGAGAGAUUUGUUUUCAGGUGGGGGAGCUGCUGAGGAAUGCAAGUUGUAUAAACCAAGUUUCAAUUUUAUGUGCUAACAUGGUAAACACUCAGCAAUAUCGACAGGUCCAAAUUUGAAAUGUUGCUCUUUAAUUCUUGGUGGGGGUGGCAAAAAAAAGAGCCUGUGGGCAACUUCAUCUGUUGAAAUAAAAAAUAUGCAAUAUAAUCAUCUUUCAUCAAAACUUAUCAAUCCAGAAAUAAUAGUUGAGUGAUUAUGCUUGUAUUUAGCCUAUCAACUGGCAGAUGCAUUCACUUUUAGCCUGGGAAGGAGGAUGUGCUGGGAGGGCUUGGCCAAGCGCUUCCCUUCCUUGUGUUUUAUGCAACCUUGAUCGGG
RNAcentral lists this long non-coding RNA (379 nucleotides) under Elaeis guineensis (African oil palm). RNAcentral describes it as "long non-coding RNA (EGUI_LNC076230)". The record is from RNAcentral. Lineage: Eukaryota; Viridiplantae; Streptophyta; Magnoliopsida; Arecales; Arecaceae.